GCUUCCUCGUCUGGAUGAGUUUCCACUUAAAGGGGUUGUUGCUGAGGCAGAAUUUCGAGAUGAAGGCUAGAGAGAAAUAUGACACUUAGCUUCACAUGAUUUAACUUCGGAGGAAUUUUGGAGGGUCAAGGACAGGAAAUAGAUGAAGGAGGAAGAGUAACUCCAUCAGACCAAUUGUUGUAAAAUAAAGAAUGAAUAAGUCAUAGAUAGACCAAGAAUGGCUCCUACCACAGAACUCAAAAUGUGUUGGGUAAGUGAAUAAAUCAUACCCCAUCUGUACUAACAGACUUACCUUAUUUAUUUUAACAGCUUCAUAGGAGCCUAUUAUGUCAACUUAUAAUUGAAUUAAUCUAUCUUAUGUUGACAGGCCUUAAAGUUGUUGUUUCAGUGUUUCAAGAAGGAAAGUGCCUUAAAAGUCUAAUUUAAAACUCUGACUUUAUAGCUAAGGAGAAUGAAAUUCAGAAGUGAAAGAUGCUACUGAAGGUUAAACAACUACCAAAUGUCAGAGCAUUCACAAACCUUAGUUUUGUGAAUUUUAAAUCCAGUGUUCACACUAUUUACCUGCAUAUACUAUCCCAAAUACCACUAGAGGAAAAAAGUCAC
Microcebus murinus (gray mouse lemur) is the source of this 603-nucleotide non-coding RNA. The record is from RefSeq and is a predicted model, not a curated record. NCBI's taxonomy places the organism in Eukaryota, Metazoa, Chordata, Mammalia, Primates, Cheirogaleidae.